Molecule: ribosomal RNA, 506 nt
Filed under: uncultured bacterium
Lineage: Bacteria
Description: partial 16S ribosomal RNA
Rfam family: Bacterial small subunit ribosomal RNA
Source: RNAcentral
AGUGAACGCUGGCGGUAGGCCUAACACAUGCAAGUCGAACGGCAGCACAGAGGAGCUUGCUCCUUGGGUGGCGAGCGGCGGGCGGGUGAGGAAUACAUCGGAAUCUACUCUGUCGUGAGGGAUAACGUAGGGAAACUUACGCUAAUACCGCAUACGACCUACGGGUGCAAGCAGGGGACCUUCGGGCCUUGCGCGAUUGAAUGAGCCGAUGUCGGAUUAGCUAGGUGGCGGGGUAAAGGCCCACCAAGGCGACGAUCCGUAGCUGGUCUGAGAGGAUGAUCAGCCACACUGGAACUGAGACACGGUCCAGACUCCUACGGGAGGCAGCAGUGGGGAAUAUUGGACAAUGGGCGCAAGCCUGAUCCAGCCAUACCGCGUGGGUGAAGAAGGCCUUCGGGUUGUAAAGCCCUUUUGUUGGGAAAGAAAUCCAGCUGGCUAAUACCCGGUUGGGAUGACGGUACCCAAAGAAUAAGCACCGGCUAACUUCGUGCCAGCCGCCGCCGUAA